RNAcentral lists this ribosomal RNA (352 nucleotides) under uncultured Sphingobacteriales bacterium. RNAcentral describes it as "bacterial SSU rRNA". It matches the Rfam family "Bacterial small subunit ribosomal RNA", at positions 1031 to 1382 of the family's 1533-position model. The record is from RNAcentral. Lineage: Bacteria; Pseudomonadati; Bacteroidota; Sphingobacteriia; Sphingobacteriales.
CUGCAAGGUGCUGCAUGGUGUCGUCAGCUCGUGCCGUGAGGUGUCGGGUUAAGUCCCAUAACGAGCGCAACCCUUAUCGUUAGUUGCCAUCUGGUAAAGCAGGGGACUCUAGCGAAACUGCCACCGUAAGGUGAGAGGAAGUGGGGAUGACGUCAAAUCAGCACGGCCCUUAUGUCCAGGGCUACACACGUGUUACAAUGGCCGGUACAGAGGGCAGCUACCUGGUGACAGGAUGCUAAUCUCGAAAACCGGUCUCAGUUUGGAUCGAAGUCUGCAACUCGACUUCGUGAAGCUGGAUUCGCUAGUAAUCGCGCAUCAGCCAUGGCCGCGGUCGAAUACGUUCCCGGGCCUU